GGACUUGUGGCCUAGCCUGGAUAAGGCGUUAGCCUCCUAAGUUAAUGAUCAGGGGUUCAAAUCCCCUCAAGUCCG
Molecule: transfer RNA, 75 nt
Filed under: Methanogenium sp.
Lineage: Archaea; Methanobacteriati; Methanobacteriota; Methanomicrobia; Methanomicrobiales; Methanomicrobiaceae
Also listed under: 1 other name
Description: tRNA-Arg
Rfam family: tRNA
About the family: Transfer RNA (tRNA) molecules are approximately 80 nucleotides in length. Their secondary structure includes four short double-helical elements and three loops (D, anti-codon, and T loops). Further hydrogen bonds mediate the characteristic L-shaped molecular structure. tRNAs have two regions of fundamental functional importance: the anti-codon, which is responsible for specific mRNA codon recognition, and the 3' end, to which the tRNAs corresponding amino acid is attached (by aminoacyl-tRNA synthetases). tRNAs cope with the degeneracy of the genetic code in two manners: having more than one tRNA (with a specific anti-codon) for a particular amino acid; and 'wobble' base-pairing, i.e. permitting non-standard base-pairing at the 3rd anti-codon position.
Source: RNAcentral